This 425-nucleotide ribosomal RNA is filed under the name uncultured bacterium. RNAcentral's name for it is "partial 16S ribosomal RNA". It matches the Rfam family "Bacterial small subunit ribosomal RNA", at positions 354 to 796 of the family's 1533-position model. The record is from RNAcentral.
GUGGGGAAUCUUGCGCAAUGGGCGAAAGCCUGACGCAGCCAUGCCGCGUGAAUGAUGAAGGUCUUAGGAUUGUAAAAUUCUUUCACCGGGGACGAUAAUGACGGUACCCGGAGAAGAAGCCCCGGCUAACUUCGUGCCAGCAGCCGCGGUAAUACGAAGGGGGCUAGCGUUGCUCGGAAUUACUGGGCGUAAAGGGCGCGUAGGCGGACAGUUUAGUCAGAGGUGAAAGCCCAGGGCUCAACCUUGGAAUUGCCUUUGAUACUGGCUGUCUUGAGUACGGGAGAGGUGAGUGGAACUCCGAGUGUAGAGGUGAAAUUCGUAGAUAUUCGGAAGAACACCAGUGGCGAAGGCGGCUCACUGGACUGGUAUUGACGCUGAGGUGCGAAAGCGUGGGGAGCAAACAGGAUUAGAUACCCGAGUAGUCC